This 434-nucleotide ribosomal RNA is filed under the name uncultured Clostridium sp. RNAcentral's name for it is "partial 16S ribosomal RNA". It matches the Rfam family "Bacterial small subunit ribosomal RNA", at positions 341 to 792 of the family's 1533-position model. Lineage: Bacteria; Bacillati; Bacillota; Clostridia; Eubacteriales; Clostridiaceae. The record is from RNAcentral.
ACGGGAGGCAGCAGUGGGGAAUAUUGGACAAUGGGGGAAACCCUGAUCCAGCGACGCCGCGUGAGUGAAGAAGUAUUUCGGUAUGUAAAGCUCUAUCAGCAGGAAAGAAAAUGACGGUACCUGACUAAGAAGCCCCGGCUAACUACGUGCCAGCAGCCGCGGUAAUACGUAGGGGGCAAGCGUUAUCCGGAUUUACUGGGUGUAAAGGGAGCGUAGACGGUAAGGCAAGUCUGAAGUGAAAUGCCAGGGCUCAACCCUGGAACUGCUUUGGAAACUGUCCUACUAGAGUGCAGGAGAGGUAAGUGGAAUUCCUAGUGUAGCGGUGAAAUGCGUAGAUAUUAGGAGGAACACCAGUGGCGAAGGCGGCUUACUGGACUGUAACUGACGUUGAGGCUCGAAAGCGUGGGGAGCAAACAGGAUUAGAUACCCUGGUA